UACGGAGGAUCCAAGCGUUAUCCGGAAUCAUUGGGUUUAAAGGGUCCGUAGGUGGAUAAUUAAGUCAGAGGUGAAAUCCCACAGCUCAACUGUAGAAUUGCCUUUGAUACUGGUUAUCUUGAGUUACUAUGAAGUAGUUAGAAUAUGUAGUGUAGCGGUGAAAUGCAUAGAUAUUACAUAGAAUACCAAUUGCGAAGGCAGAUUACUAAUAGUAUACUGACACUGAUGGACGAAAGCGUGGGGAGCAAACAGG
RNAcentral lists this ribosomal RNA (253 nucleotides) under uncultured bacterium. RNAcentral's name for it is "partial 16S ribosomal RNA". It matches the Rfam family "Bacterial small subunit ribosomal RNA", at positions 524 to 776 of the family's 1533-position model. The record is from RNAcentral.